RNAcentral lists this ribozyme (116 nucleotides) under Aedes aegypti (yellow fever mosquito). RNAcentral's name for it is "drz-agam-1 ribozyme". It matches the Rfam family "drz-agam-1 ribozyme". The record is from Rfam by way of RNAcentral. Lineage: Eukaryota; Metazoa; Arthropoda; Insecta; Diptera; Culicidae.
CAUUGUGCAACUCCUAUUCCAACCUCCUCUUGGUACUGGCAGUAUUACGAGCAACCUUAGGGAUCAUCGGGUAACCAAACCCGGUGGGAACUUUGGUCGUUUGCUGACAGGAGAGG